RNAcentral lists this ribozyme (77 nucleotides) under unclassified sequences. RNAcentral's name for it is "HDV ribozyme from F. prausnitzii". It matches the Rfam family "HDV ribozyme from F. prausnitzii". The record is from RNAcentral.
GCCGCUCGAAACUUUGCACACUUCUACGCGGUGAGUGGCAGGCAACACAGCGUGGGAGCUGUGGCUAAGAUGCAAAA